This 1185-nucleotide ribosomal RNA is filed under the name Triticum aestivum (bread wheat). RNAcentral describes it as "partial small subunit ribosomal RNA". The record is from RNAcentral. Lineage: Eukaryota; Viridiplantae; Streptophyta; Magnoliopsida; Poales; Poaceae.
AUGAACAUCACCCUCCUUGCUCGAUGGCUAUGGCAGAUCUCGAGGGGUGAGGGUGGUCUCUGGGUGCAGAUCAUACAGAAUAAAUAUCUCCGCGGCCAACCCCUUGCUUUCUGCCAACGGACUAGCGGCUCCCAGUCCUGGAAAUCCAUCAUACAACUGCUUCCUGUCCUCCUGAUUGGGACCUCCGCAGUAGGGACGGGCUCUAGUACCCUAUUCUGGUUCGAUAGGUGGGCUGGCGACGCUCCCUUUGCGGCCCACUUCCCGGAAUUGUUCACCAUCGCUGUGGACCCUCAGGUCUGCGUCGAGACAGCCCUUAUUGACGUAGGGCGCCUCGCCUUAAGGCGGCCUUUCGGGCCCUUGGACGUGAACGCAUGGCACGACCUCCUGGACACUGUCGCUCUACAUGAGCCAGACCUCGCACGACCCCAAGACCUCGUUUCUUGGCGGUUAGAGCCUUCGGGCCACUUCUCCACCAAAUCCCUCUACAGGGCCAUCGCUCCCUCCCUCGCCCUGGAAUCACUGAUAAUGAUCUGGGAAAUCAAACUCCCCCUAAAGAUCAGGAUCUUCGUCUGGCAUUGGAUCCGUGGGAGGGUUCCAUUAGGAGUGGAGGUGUUAAAACGCAAUGGCCCCGGAGAUGGGAUGUGCCCCCUGUGUGGGACGCUCGAGGAUUUGAAUCAUAUCUUCUUCUCCUGCGUCUCUGCCCAGUUCUUGUGGAGUUGCUUCCGUGAGGCGAUCAGUGGUCGUUGGUGCAACACCAACUUCCCGGAUCUCUUCGCCGAGGUUCAGGCCUUGCCCCAGCCUGGCCGCCACAUUAGGUGGCUGGCGGUUGGGGUCCUUGCGUGGAUGCUGUGGACUAUUCGCAAUAAGCUCGUGAUCCAACGCGUUCCCCUUCGGCGAUCGACUGACGCAAUGUUUAAAAUGUGUGGUUAUUUGCAGCUUUGGCGGCUGCUUAGCCGUCCCCAGGAUCUCGACGCCAUCAACAACAUCAUCGCAUCCCUUCGUGCGUUGGCCAUCCGCUUGGCGCCGCCGCUCCCUCCGCCACCCCAGAGCCGGAUUAGAUCAUGUAGUAUGUGGCCUGCCUACGGCUUGGCCUUGUUUUUAUGUUUUGGGCUUGUUGGGUUGUGCCCUCAGCAGAACCUAGUACUUUUCGUCAUUUUAGCUUUCUGUUUGUGUGUGUGGGUGUGA